Molecule: ribosomal RNA, 253 nt
Filed under: uncultured bacterium
Lineage: Bacteria
Description: partial 16S ribosomal RNA
Rfam family: Bacterial small subunit ribosomal RNA
Source: RNAcentral
UACAGAGGGUGCUAGCGUUGUUCGGAAUCAUUGGGCGUAAAGGGCGUGUAGGCGGUUUGUUAAGUCAUGUGUGAAAUCCCUCGGCUCAACCGGGGAACGACGCAUGAAACUGGCAAGCUAGAGUACCAAAGAGGGGGGUGGAAUUUACGGUGUAGCAGUGAAAUGCGUAGAGAUCGUAAGGAAGACCAGUGGCGAAGGCGAGUUUCUGGACAGUUACUGACGCUGAGGCACGAAGGCCAGGGGAGCAAACGGG